GAUGAACGCUGGCGGCGUGCCUAACACAUGCAAGUCGAGCGAACAGACGAGGAUCUUUCUCCUCCGACGUUAGCGGCGGCCGGGUGAGUAACACGUGGCCAACCUACCUCUCCGACUGGGAUAACUUCGGCAAACCGGAGCUACUACCAGAAAAUUUAUUGACCCGCAUUGUUCCAUAGUGAAAUACGGUUUUUCUGUCACUUAUAGAUGGAUCCGCGCCGCAUUAGCUAGGUGGUAAGGCAACGGCUUACCCAGGCAACGAUGCGUAGCCGACCUGAAAGGGUGGUCGGCCACCUUGGAUGUGAGACACGGUCCAGACGCCUGCGCGAGGCCGCAGUCCGGAAUCUUACGCAAUGGGCGAGAGCCUUACAGAGCAACACCGAGUGAGUGAUGAAGGUGUACGGAUCGGAAAACUCUGUUAUUAGUGGAGAACAAAUGUUUAUGUAACUGUGCACAUCUUGACGGUACCUGAAGAAAAAGCCACGGCUAACUACGUG
Molecule: ribosomal RNA, 497 nt
Filed under: uncultured bacterium
Lineage: Bacteria
Description: partial 16S ribosomal RNA
Rfam family: Bacterial small subunit ribosomal RNA
Source: RNAcentral